Molecule: transfer RNA, 77 nt
Filed under: Fidelibacterota bacterium
Lineage: Bacteria; Pseudomonadati; Fidelibacterota
Description: tRNA-Asn
Rfam family: tRNA
About the family: Transfer RNA (tRNA) molecules are approximately 80 nucleotides in length. Their secondary structure includes four short double-helical elements and three loops (D, anti-codon, and T loops).
Source: RNAcentral
UCCGGUAUAGCUCAGUUGGUUAGAGCAGCGGACUGUUAAUCCGCGUGUCCGAGGUUCGAGUCCUCGUACCGGAGCAA